Molecule: long non-coding RNA, 308 nt
Filed under: Ananas comosus (pineapple)
Lineage: Eukaryota; Viridiplantae; Streptophyta; Magnoliopsida; Poales; Bromeliaceae
Description: long non-coding RNA (ACOM_LNC011629)
Source: RNAcentral
AAUAAUAAUGCAAAACAUUUGCCUUUUUCCUAAAAGCUUCAAGAAGUUAGAGAAUAAUAUUGCAAUAUUUUAUAUUUAACACUCUUCUUCAUGUCUGAGCUUGAGAAUUUUUUUAACCCCAAAAAUGUGGAGCCUAGUAGCAUACGAACCCAAAAUCUCCUACUCUGAUACCAUGUGAAAUAAUAUUGUAAAACAACCACUUUCUCUAAAAGAUUAAGCUAUUAGGAAGCUGUAUUUUAAAAUUUUAUACUCAACAUAGUUGAAGAAUAAAUAUACAACAUAUAAAUUCAUCAAAUGAAGUUGCAAUC